AGCAGCCGCGGUAAUUCCAGCUCCAAUAGCGUAUAUUAAAGUUGUUGCAGUUAAAAAGCUCGUAGUUGAAUUUCGGGGUCAGUAGGCUGGUCGUGCCACAGGUACGUACUGGUCUCACUGAUUCCUCCUUCCUGAUGAACCGUAAUGCCAUUAAUUUGGUGUUGCGGGGAAACUGGACUGUUACUUUGAAAGAAUUAGAGUGUUUAAAGCAGGCUAACGCUUGAAUACAUUAGCAUGGAAUAAUGAAAUAGGACGUUCGAUCCUAUUUUGUUGGUUUCUAGGAUUGACGUAAUGAUUAAUAGGGAUAGUUGGGGGCAUUAGUAUUCAAUUGUCAGAGGUGAAAUUCUUGGAUUUAUUGAAGACUAACUACUGCGAAAGCAUUUGCCAAGGAUGUUUUCAUUAAUCAAGAACGAAAGUUAGGGGAUCGAAGACGAUCAGAUACCGUCGUAGUCUUAACCAUAAACUAUGCCGACUAGGGAUCGGAUGAUGU
This 490-nucleotide ribosomal RNA is filed under the name uncultured Glomeromycotina. RNAcentral's name for it is "SSU rRNA". It matches the Rfam family "Eukaryotic small subunit ribosomal RNA", at positions 569 to 1063 of the family's 1831-position model. Lineage: Eukaryota; Fungi; Glomeromycota. The record is from RNAcentral.